Molecule: long non-coding RNA, 623 nt
Organism: Diabrotica virgifera virgifera (western corn rootworm)
Lineage: Eukaryota; Metazoa; Arthropoda; Insecta; Coleoptera; Chrysomelidae
Exons: 2
Source: RefSeq, a predicted model, not a curated record
ACCAUUGGUUACAACCCAUUCCGCUGUGUUGCCAAAUUUUUAAGCAGUAUCGAAACGCGGCAGAUUUAAAAACAUGUCAAAAUAUGUUGUUUUACUUUACAGGUUCUUAAAGUGAAUCAAAUCUAUUUUUUCUAAUUUGAUAGUUGCUUGUAUAAUAUAAUAUAUUCCAGUUAGUUAUCCAGUAGAUAAGCUUUAAAAGUAAGUUUGGAUUCCGAACACACCUGAUUUUUGUGUUUAUUUUUAUAAUUUCAGCUCCUAACCUAACAUAAUUAGAUUCAAAGAUGAUUUUAUCGUUUUUAUUUCCAUUUUGGAAGAGGGCAUGAAGAAAAUUUACAGAUAUGACAAACAUCUAGCUAGAAGAUGGAAUCCCGCGUUCUUAAAAUAAAAAAAGCUAGUUCCAGAAGUAAGCUACCAAUAAUAAACUAGAGAAUGUAUUACAAGAAAGAACAACGCUAAUACUCAACAUAGCUCAAUUGCUUCAGAUAGAAAAAGAGGAGGAAAGGGUACAACACAAGCGUGCCAGAGAAAAUGAAAGGGCAGAAGAGAGACACAAAAUUCAUUGAUUUAUUAAAUUUACAAAUUAAAUUAUACAAAGGACAAUUAAAUAAAAAAUUAAAAAAUGA